UCUCCCCCAUGAGGACCUACCCAGCGUUUACUGAGAAGCUGCCAUACACUGUAUGCAAGGCCCCUGACGGGCACACACAGCUGUCCUCGCAGCAUUUAAUCCACGACAGUCCCUGUGAUGAACACCUGACGACAAGCCCAUGGUGUGGGCUUCCUACCAUCAUCCGUGUCCUGCAGCAGUGUACUCACAGUGGAGACGAGAUCAAAGAGUCGGCUGCUCAGCCCGUACUCCAUCCACCGAGCCACGUACUCAAGGGGCCAAUCUGUCCAACAGCACCGUGUGCCCAGACACAUGGGGAUCCAGGUCAGGAGAGGCACGCACCAGCUACUAUUGCAGGGCCCCAGCUGUGUGCUAAGGAAAGACGGCAACGACAGCAGGAGCAACAGAAAAAGUAGGUGACCGCCCUCGCCUUUGAAAAACCGCAAGGCUGACCAAAGGUUUGACAAAAAAAAAAAAAAAAGAAGUUUUUUUUUUUUUUUCACUCUUGAAGCACAUCACAACCUGUUGCUGUGGUUUCUUUGACAGGGAAACUAUCAGGAGUCAAACGUGAGCUGAGUUAGGAGCUUCCCACGGCUUGGUAGUGAUGCUUGCGGCCCCUAGGAAGAAAGAGGGUCACCCAGGUUUCAAGAGAGCAUCUGAGAGGUCCAGUGUCUUGCUGCAGGCACAUCAGAGACAGGGCAUAGCCGACCUAACCUGGAUCUCCUUGGCAUUAGCCAAGGGUGGGUGUAGCUUUCCCUCGUGGGAUAGAGCUAGUGUUGGCUGUACGGUGACUCUGUACCCACGCCUCAACUAUGAAUCCUCCUUACACCCCGCGGGAAAGUGGGUGACCACCUCUGCUUUGCAAAUAUGCGGUGCAUGGGGGUCAGGAGAGUCAUCCGAGGUCUCCCAGUUGGUAGGAGGGAAGUCUGGGCAUUGAGUCCUGCCUAGCUGCGUCCAGCGUUCUUAACCCACCCCAGUGUUCUCAGUUCCCAGGCACAGCAAUUCACAAAAGGAGGGGCUGCUUCUGCAUCGGUGUGCCUACCUUAAUGCCCCCUGGGAGGCGGUCUGGGGCUGCAAACCAUGCUGAGUGGAUGAACAAGAGAAGGGGCAUAGCAAAGCAUGGUGUACAACUCCACAGCUGGCACAUGCCUCCCCCACCCCACCUCUCAGUGCCAACUCCUCUGCCCCCUCCCCCACAUGACAGAGAAGUGACCAGGGCAUGGCUAGAGCUAGCACACUAUCACAUGAGAGCCACCCCACGUGAGAUCAGCAAGGGGCAUGAGGAACGAUCUGUGGGCCCAAAGAAGACGUGUCAUGAACAUCCCAACCCCCGCUGUGUGGAGAAGCGCCGUACAAUUCAUCUCAAAGGUCAUAUCUCUCGUGUAUUAAUUUGCUAAUUCGAAGCCCUGAUUAAAAGGACUGUUUCCGCUCUCAAGGCAGAGCCGUGGAGAAUGGACUCAGGUACUUAAAAGGCGCACAUUGGUCUUUGUGCUGGGAAAAUGGACACUGGUCACCUCUGCCCCUCAGGAACCUGUGCCCUGCUGCUUUGGCCCAGAAUGACCUGAAUGGAGCAAAUUGCAUAUUCAGACUGCAUAUCCAUAUAGUGCCAAAUGGCUUCCAUUAGCCCAAUUUCAAGAUAUCUGGAUAAUGCCCCAGAACUGGAGUCUCUUUCAGGACCAGGAAAUUGUCGGAGAGAGCAGAGCUCCUGGGGAGGGGAAUCAGCUAUCUAAUUGCAAGAAGAAAGGAAAGUGGAGGGAGAUUUGGGCCCUAAUGUCCCGGGCUCUAACUCUGCAGCCCAGCUUUCUCAGGAGCUCAGUGGUACCGUGAUGUCAGCUUCAAGCGCCCCAUCUCCAGGAGACACAAGAGCACAUGUCGUCCCUGGACUUGCCCUCCCAGGACUGCCAUCUCCAACUAUCCGGCCCUGUUUGGAAAGGCAGAGGUGCCACAGCUGACCUGCUCCCCGCCCCCCAGGAACGGAAGCACACCCUGCUGGGAUCCUGUGUGAAACAGCUCUCCUUCCUCACCCAUCCCUUUGUGAGGAUGGGGAGGGACCACGGGUGCAAACUGGGACUGUGAAAUGGGACUCCAAAGGCUGCAGCCAGUAGUUGCUCAGUUAAUGCUAGGGCAUCUACCACCAACUAUGUGAUGUGUACUGCCAGCCCUUCUGGGCACAGGUUUUCAAGUGACAUAGGGCAGUAUGGGGAGACAUGGAGCAUCUGUGAACUCUGUGAACUAAUAUUGUGUUGGUGUGUGUGUCUGUCUGUCUGUCUGUCUGCCUGUCCAUUGGUUGUUCCAAACUUCUAGAGACUAAUAAACCUGCUAUAAGACCCUUG
This is a non-coding RNA of Myodes glareolus (Bank vole), 2312 nucleotides long. Lineage: Eukaryota; Metazoa; Chordata; Mammalia; Rodentia; Cricetidae. The record is from RefSeq and is a predicted model, not a curated record.